ACUAAAGCAUACUUAGUACGGCGAGUGAGCGGUAAAAGCUCAAAUUUGAAAUCUGGUACUUUCAGUGCCCGAGUUGUAAUUUGUAGAAUUUGUCUUUGAUUAGGUCCUUGUCUAUGUUCCUUGGAACAGGACGUCAUAGAGGGUGAGAAUCCCGUUUGGCGAGGAUACCUUUUCUCUGUAAGACUUUUUCGAAGAGUCGAGUUGUUUGGGAAUGCAGCUCAAAGUGGGUGGUAAAUUCCAUCUAAAGCUAAAUAUUGGCGAGAGACCGAUAGCGAACAAGUACAGUGAUGGAAAGAUGAAAAGAACUUUGAAAAGAGAGUGAAAAAGUACGUGAAAUUGUUGAAAGGGAAGGGCAUUUGAUCAGACAUGGUGUUUUUUGCAUGCACUCGCCUCUCGUGGGCUUGGGCCUCUCAAAAAUUUCACUGGGCCAACAUCAAUUCUGGCAGCAGGAUAAAUCAUUAAGAAUGUAGCUACUUCGGUAGUGUUAUAGCUUUUUGGAAUACUGUUAGCCGGGAUUGAGGACUGCGCUUCGGCAAGGAUGUUGGCAUAAUGGUUAAAUGCCGCCCGUCUUGACCCCCGGGACCA
RNAcentral lists this ribosomal RNA (585 nucleotides) under Hanseniaspora uvarum. RNAcentral's name for it is "partial large subunit ribosomal RNA". It matches the Rfam family "Eukaryotic large subunit ribosomal RNA", at positions 64 to 664 of the family's 3401-position model. The record is from RNAcentral. Lineage: Eukaryota; Fungi; Ascomycota; Saccharomycetes; Saccharomycodales; Saccharomycodaceae.